GAGGAGUUAGUCUAAAAAAGACAGCUGAUUUCGGCUCAGCAAAUUAUGGUUUAACCCCAUAACACCUUUAUGUU
This 74-nucleotide transfer RNA is filed under the name Rhinella marina (marine toad). Its description in RNAcentral is "partial tRNA-Arg". It matches the Rfam family "tRNA". Rfam says of the family: Transfer RNA (tRNA) molecules are approximately 80 nucleotides in length. Their secondary structure includes four short double-helical elements and three loops (D, anti-codon, and T loops). Lineage: Eukaryota; Metazoa; Chordata; Amphibia; Anura; Bufonidae. The record is from RNAcentral.